AAAAAGUUAGUUAAUAUAUUAUAACAUAAAAUUGUCAAUUUUAAAUUACUAUUAUAUAGUACUUUUUA
Molecule: transfer RNA, 68 nt
Filed under: Rossia macrosoma
Lineage: Eukaryota; Metazoa; Mollusca; Cephalopoda; Sepiida; Sepiolidae
Description: tRNA-Asp
Source: RNAcentral